Molecule: ribosomal RNA, 973 nt
Filed under: Ramaria rasilisporoides
Lineage: Eukaryota; Fungi; Basidiomycota; Agaricomycetes; Gomphales; Gomphaceae
Description: partial 28S ribosomal RNA
Rfam family: Eukaryotic large subunit ribosomal RNA
Source: RNAcentral
UCAGAUCAGGUAGGAUUACCCGCCGAACUUAAGCAUAUCAAUAAGCGGAGGAAAAGAAACUAACAAGGAUUCCCCUAGUAACGGCGAGUGAAGCGGGAAGAGCUCAAAUUUGUAAUCUGGCGGCCUGUGGUCGUCCGAGUUGUAGUCUGGAGAAGCGUUUUCCGCGUCGGACCGUGUACAAGUCCUUUGGAACAGGGCAUCAUAGAGGGUGAGAAUCCCGUCUUUGACACGGACUGCCGAUGCUUUUGUGAUGCGCUCUCGAAGAGUCGAGUUGUUUGGGAAUGCAGCUCAAAACGGGUGGUAAAUUCCAUCUAAAGCUAAAUAUUGGCAAAAGACCGAUAGCGAACAAGUACCGUGAGGGAAAGAUGAAAAGCACUUUGGAAWGAGAGUCAAAUAGUACGUGGAAAUUGUCGAAAGGGAAACGCUUGAAGUCAGUCGCGUCUCYUGGGACUCAGCCGGGCAUCCUUUUGSYUGGUGUAUUUCCUGGGGUGACGGGSCAGCAUCGAUUUUKAMCRUCGGAGAAAGSSUWKGGRAAUGUGGCACCKUCGRGUGUGWUMUAKCCCUCGKUCGCAUGCGCCGGUUGGGAYYGAGGAUCRCAKSACRCMKUUAUUGGCCGGGGUUCGCCCASGUAMCGUGCUUAGGAUGCURGCGUAAKARCUUUAAGCGWSCCGWCUKGAAACACGRWYCAGAGKWKYCUAACAGUSMCKKCGAGUGUUUGGGUGGAAAACCCAGACGCGAAAUGAAAGUGAAAGGGUUGGGACCUCUGUUGUGGAGGGCACCGACGCCCGGACCAGACCUUUUGUGACGGUUCCGAGGUAGAGCAUGCAUGCUGGGACCCGAAAGAUGGUGAACUAUGCCUGAGUAGGGUGAAGCCAGAGGAAACUCUGGUGGAGGCUCGUAGCGAUUCUGACGUGCAAAUCGAUCGUCGAACUUGGGUAUAGGGGCGAAAGACUAAUCGAACCAUCUUUGGCUC